Mytilus californianus (California mussel) is the source of this 544-nucleotide long non-coding RNA. RefSeq lists it as uncharacterized. The record is from RefSeq and is a predicted model, not a curated record. NCBI's taxonomy places the organism in Eukaryota, Metazoa, Mollusca, Bivalvia, Mytilida, Mytilidae. The transcript has 5 exons.
GCUUUGUCUGUUGACCAUCCAUACAUAACUGGUGACUUUGCACAUGCAAUAUAUUUUGAUAGUAGGUCUUGUCCUAUAACCUUUGGAUUAAAGUCAGAAGUACUUUGUUCUGGUUUGUUACAAAACCAAUAGCCCAUUUCACCAGCAUACAUCAUACUUAGUAAGUGUGUGUCACUGUAUAUACCUGUAAAGAUAGAAAGGUUUGUUACAUAACCAAUAGCCAAUUUCACUAGCAUACAUCAUACUUAGUAAGUGUGUGUCACUGUAUAUACCUGUAAAGAUAGAAAGGUUUGUUACAUAACCAAUAGCAUAUUUCACCAGCAUACAUCAUACUUAGUAAGUGUGUGUCACUGUAUAUACCUGUAAAGAUAGAAAGGUUUGUUACAUAACCAAUAGCACAUUUCACCAGCAUACAUAAUACUUAGUGUGUGUCACUGUAUAUACCUGUAAAGAUAGAAAGGUUUGUUACAUAACCAAUAGCACAUUUCACCAGCAUACAUAAUACUUAGUGUGUGUCACUGUAUAUACCUGUAAAGAUAGAAAG